GGGGAUUAGUGGCGAACGGGUGAGUAACACGUGGGCAAUCUGCCCUGCACUCUGGGACAAGCCCUGGAAACGGGGUCUAAUACCGGAUAUGACUGUCCAUCGCAUGGUGGAUGGUGUAAAGCUCCGGCGGUGCAGGAUGAGCCCGCGGCCUAUCAGCUUGUUGGUGAGGUAGUGGCUCACCAAGGCGACGACGGGUAGCCGGCCUGAGAGGGCGACCGGCCACACUGGGACUGAGACACGGCCCAGACUCCUACGGGAGGCAGCAGUGGGGAAUAUUGCACAAUGGGCGAAAGCCUGAUGCAGCGACGCCGCGUGAGGGAUGACGGCCUUCGGGUUGUAAACCUCUUUCAGCAGGGAAGAAGCGAAAGUGACGGUACCUGCAGAAGAAGCGCCGGCUAACUACGUGCCAGCAGCCGCGGUAAUACGUAGGGCGCAAGCGUUGUCCGGAAUUAUUGGGCGUAAAGAGCUCGUAGGCGGCUUGUCACGUCGGUUGUGAAAGCCCGGGGCUUAACCCCGGGUCUGCAGUCGAUACGGGCAGGCUAGAGUUCGGUAGGGGAGAUCGGAAUUCCUGGUGUAGCGGUGAAAUGCGCAGAUAUCAGGAGGAACACCGGUGGCGAAGGCGGAUCUCUGGGCCGAUACUGACGCUGAGGAGCGAAAGCGUGGGGAGCGAACAGGAUUAGAUACCCUGGUAGUCCACGCCGUAAACGGUGGGCACUAGGUGUGGGCAACAUUCCACGUUGUCCGUGCC
Molecule: ribosomal RNA, 748 nt
Filed under: Streptomyces sp. 563(2010)
Lineage: Bacteria; Bacillati; Actinomycetota; Actinomycetes; Kitasatosporales; Streptomycetaceae
Also listed under: 1 other name
Description: bacterial SSU rRNA
Rfam family: Bacterial small subunit ribosomal RNA
Source: RNAcentral